UUAAAAGGCUUUCUGCUUUUGAAUUCAAAUGCUACAGGUGAUUGCUGUGCAUUAGCGAUACCUCACACACUACCAGCAAAGAAGUAAUAUCAAGAUAAUCAGACAAAGAAAACUUGAGUUUGUGGGAUGCAUGGGUCAAAUGAGUGGAUGAAGAUUGCUGAAGAAAGGUUUUCAAGGGACUUGUGCAAGACACCAGGGGCACCUUCAGCAAGUGUGGUUUGAUGCUGUGGCUGAGAUGGGAUAUGGUACGCCACACUUCUCAAGGCUGGGCAAAGACUGAAAUGUAGAGGAAAACUGCUGGCAAUGACUUCCGUGUGCUGUUUACUGUUCAUUGUGAUUGUGACUUUUCAUGCUUUGCACUAUGAGAGAAGGUAUGUAUGUAAUGUCCAAAACACUUUAGCAGCAAUGAUCCAGGCACCCUCUGAUAUUAACAUUUGCACAAAUGAAAAAGUGUUUGAACAUAAACAUCUAUGAAUGGAUUUUAAAAUUACAUCUCCUAAUAUCACUGAAGAAAACUCAGAAUUUCAAUUCUCCAGGUGGUGUAUAGAAAAGCAGGACUGGCCCUAUGUUUUGUUGAGUCCUACACGAAGGAACUUGAUUUGAUUGGGGCCCCAAUCAAUCAGAUUCACUCACCUUUAUGGUCAGGUUGCACGAUGUUCAUUUAAUUACAAUGGUCCCUUGCUAACUCCUGUCUGCUGCAAACCUAUCAGGCUGUGGUUACAAUCUGCAGACUUUGACAAACCCCAUAUGUGGGCUGAAAACCCAGAAGAUGGAGCCAGAGAGCAACACUCAAAAGCAGGGAGCAGAGCGGACAGUGACAUGAGUCUGGCAGGUGUUAGGAGUUGCAGGAGGUUGGUGCGGAGAUGACAGACAGAAGUGUGGCAUAUCCUAUUGAUGUCCCAGCCUGGUAUCCUGAUAUUGCAGCCGUUUGUUGAUGUGCAGAAUAGGUUCGGAACAGGAAGCAAAAACAAACGUGCAGGUUUCCUCACAUGGUUCCACCAGUCAGCGUCAGCUAGGAUUGAUAGGUACCACCCCAGGACCAAGGUCUCCAUUGUCAUGCAGUCCUCAGCCACUGUUAAGACUGCAAACAAGGGUGCUAGUUAGGUAUCUCUCAGAAAUAGCAGUAUCCACUGGAAGCUGGUCUGAGAACAUGUUCACAUCACAUGGCCCAAUAAACAGCUGGUUGGUAACAGUAUCUGUCAAGGUGGAAUUUUAAAAUGAUGACACAGAGGUGAAAGUCUCCAGCAUGCCAAUUACCAAUACCGUGAGCCCUCCAGCACACUUCCUUAUUGGAUACUAUGGGCCUGAUUCAGCACCCUUUGAAAAUCAUCUGCUAACAUUCCUGUUAAUUUCAAUGAGAUCAGGAACAGGCUGUACUUUGGAAGUAGUAUUUACUGCACACCGCUCAAAUAACCUUUCUUCUAUCAGCAUUAUACCUCCCUUCUGCCAUGGAGAAACAAAGCACUGGAAGAUACUUCAAAGAUUUUCAAGGGAGGCUGGAAUAAACAGGGAACUAUUUUGGGUUUUAUAAAUGUUGUUGGUAAGAAGCCACAUCAACCCAUCCAACCUUAAUGCAUCUACAUAAAAUUUGUGAAAAGAUGAAAAUAGCAAGUUACUAAGCGAUUUUGGGAAACUGAUCUCUAGAAUACAAAAUGGGAUUUUAUAUUCUCCUGUGGAUCGAUUGUAACAUUACAGUCUGCCUUGAGAAGUGACAGUCAUAGCUAUACCCCCCAGGAACAGACCACGAAAGAGAAUUGUGACUCAAUCACAAUUCUUCCCCUGGUCCGGGAGAGAGGGCAAGAUUACCUUGAUGUUUUUUGUGGUGUAGCUUAUUCACCCUGUGAACCUGGUAGACACUUUGGCCAGCAAAUUAGGAGUGUGGGGAGAGAGUGGAGCCAAGACUUCUUCCUCUCCCUUUCCUCAUCUGUAGCCACCUUGCCCACAAGUAGGGUACGUAGGAUGAGGAGUCCCUGCCUGCUCUAUCUGAACAGGUCUUACUCACUUGAACAGGGGAAUAAAGUGGUAAGGGGAAACAGGGUUAGUCUCCCUUUUAUGUGGUGAGGCAGGGGAGUAAAGGGGCUAGAGUGUCACUUCUAGGAAUUGGUUAUUUGGAACCUUGUAGAUGUUUUGCAUGCUUUACCAUCCAACAUUAAGGGGGAGUGAGCAGCUAAAUUGGAUGUGGUGAAAUGAGAUAAGGAAGGAGUAUUGGCCCCAAGGAGCAGAUUACUGGUGAUUUCCAGAAACACUAACUAGUUUGGUUUUUUGAACAUACAGAAAUUGGUCAAUAAUUGCAUUGUU
This is a long non-coding RNA of Mauremys mutica (yellowpond turtle), 2298 nucleotides long. RefSeq lists it as uncharacterized. The record is from RefSeq and is a predicted model, not a curated record. Lineage: Eukaryota; Metazoa; Chordata; Testudines; Geoemydidae. The transcript has 3 exons.